AUGGCGACCGGCGCACGGGUGAGUAACACGUAUCCAACCUGCCGAUGACUCGGGGAUAGCCUUUCGAAAGAAAGAUUAAUACCCGAUGGCAUAGUUCUUCCGCAUGGUAGAACUAUUAAAGAAUUUCGGUCAUCGAUGGGGAUGCGUUCCAUUAGCUAGUCGGCGGGGUAACGGCCCACCGAGGCGACGAUGCGUAGGGGUUCUGAGAGGAAGGUCCCCCACACUGGUACUGAGACACGGACCAGACUCCUACGGGAGGCAGCAG
This 265-nucleotide ribosomal RNA is filed under the name uncultured bacterium. Its description in RNAcentral is "partial 16S ribosomal RNA". It matches the Rfam family "Bacterial small subunit ribosomal RNA", at positions 88 to 354 of the family's 1533-position model. The record is from RNAcentral.